CAUUUCCUUUCAUGUGCUGUG
RNAcentral lists this microRNA (21 nucleotides) under Python bivittatus (Burmese python). Its description in RNAcentral is "pbv-miR-9650-3p". The record is from miRBase by way of RNAcentral. Lineage: Eukaryota; Metazoa; Chordata; Lepidosauria; Squamata; Pythonidae.